AAGCCGAGUGAAGCCAACCGGAGCAAGUUUUACAAAUUUUUUACAAAUUUUUCGAAUUGUUUUCAGUUCCAAGCUGUGUGAAAGACUCAACCCACGAUACCAACGUCUACUUCAGCAUGCGUUCAAAAGCUAGGUGAUUUUUGGGGUGUUUUUUUGCUGACAGAUUGGUGGUGUGGGCGGUCUGUUCUAUUUUCAGCCCAAGCAUGGUGGCACCACUUCCUGUGAGGACCCUUGACAUGGAAUGCUUGGCUUGGGUCAGUUCUUUGUAAGCAGCCAUACAGUGUACAUACACUUCAUAUUGGGAAUAUUGAUCAUAUUUUUGCGCGGCUGGAAUGGAUUAUCUGUAUUUACAUUAUUUCUGAUGGGAAAAUCCGUUAUUGUACUGUAAUGGAAUUUCAGCCUGUUUUGGAGAGCUCAUGUUUGUUCAUGCAUUCAAUUUCUCUCUCAUGUCACACUUCACACCGGUGAUUAACGGCUCAUAUGAAAGUAGACACUAAUGUGUAGGUUUUUUUUUCUAUUAGUAUUUAUGUUUUUACUUAGCCUACUAGAGGCUGUAUUAUUCCAACAAAUGUCAGUGUAAAAGGUGAUAUCAAACCCAUUUCUGCUCUCUGACAUUAAUAAAGUAAAUAAUUGAAAAUCUAAAGUCAUUAUCUUUGACCACCAACAUUCCUAACUUUCAGCAAUAAAUAAAUACAUUUGUUUCUAAAUUAAGCCAAUGUCCAAUCCAUUCCCAUGGUGCACUGGUAAAAAGGGUUAAACACACCUGUAUGUCUGCUGUCAGAGGCGUAUAGUGUAAAGUCUGCAUUAGACAGAAUGUUUAUUCUGCUGUUGAUUGUAGAUGGUGGAAUGUUAACAGCUUUAAAAUAAAGUCAAUUAUGAUGAUUCUUCACAGGAGGAGAAGGGAGAGGAAUCUGUUCAUCACAUGGUGAGUGUGGAGAAUAAAUAAAUCAUCAUAAAGAGUGUGUGCUGCUGUACAACACUGCUGGGUUUAAGCGACACGCUGUACGUAAGACAGAGCGAUCGUUGUGCUGAUGUUCCUGAGACGUAAAUCUGUACACGUCAUGCUGACGUGAGUGUGCGCACUGGUGUGUUUUCUGAGCAGGUGGAAUUAAAGUAAAACUUAAAAGAAAAAAGUGUGAACAGAUGGACUUUAUGAUUCAUUAGUCUGGCUCUCUCAUUCUUAGAGAAAGAUACCUUUUGUGCGUGUUGUAGAGGAAGCGCUGAGGGAGGAAGCUAAAGAGAAGCGGCGAGGGACUUCAGCCUCCUUAGGCGUCGGCUCUGGAGCAGAAAGCAGAACUCAGCUGUAAGACCGGGUGAUGUUCUGUCACUAGCAACACACAACUUUAUUCAUUCUCCCGCAGUUUUAUUUACUGAAACACUCCGGCGGCUAAACACUUGAUUCGGCGUCUGACAAAUCUGUGAUGGAUGAAGCAGGGAGAAGGAACAGUGAGAUGAUAAUGACAGACCGUGGACACUCCGGCGGUCCAGCGCUUCACAGGCCCUGCGUGAAAAAUCGAUGGCUGAUAUGCUAACAUGAUGAAAUUUAUUGACAGCCUCAAGUUUUCGAGCAGGAGCCAUCUCAGGAAGCCGGUAUGUGUAAUAUCGACACGUCUCCUGAAAUGUCACCAUGACUAAUUCGUGUACUGAUGACCUUAAUCACAGACACGGAAGUUCCAGGAUGAGCCACACAAUCACGCUACCUAGUGGAAGCUGCACGUAAACUGUGUAAUACAUCAUUUAGUGCAGUGUAAAAAUUAAAAAAAUUAUAUAUCUAAAUAUUUCACCGUAUUUACUCAUCUCCUAAGAUUGUUUUAUCUCUAAUGACACCAUCAUAUACAGUGUAGGAGCGCGUGUCCAGACCAGCCUCCUGAGCAGUAAUGAUUGAAGCGGCGUCUUGAAUCAAAUACAUCUGCCUUAAAUGGAAAAAAAUGACCAAGCGUGUGACAAGAUGAAUGACGGGAAUGACGAUGAGGAUGAUUUAUCAUGAUGUGGACAAAGGGAGACAGUUUGAGGCUGGACUGUACUCUGAAGGACAUGUGAGAUACAAGACAGGAAAAUGGCAAAGACUUUGGAGCAUUACCUGCUGGAAGGGACCUGCGAUUGGAGAGGCCAUGUAAGGUGAAGCGCUUUCUAGCCAGAGCUGAGGAUGGGUCUGAGCUAAUGUUGGACAUUGCACCAGCUAAAAGGAGGCAAGCGGAGAAGCACAGGGGUAAGUGAGGGGUUAGUGAAGAAGUGGCAGAGAUAAAGAGGCAGGGACAGGGCCUAAGCAUGCACAGUAAGAAGAGGUCUUAAAUGUCACCACUAAACAGGUCAGUAUAAUUUCAGAGAUUUCCCAUAUGUCUGAAAUAGACAAGCUUUUGCUCCUAUAGCAACAGGUUCAUGAAGAAAAUCAUCACCUAUGUUCACUGUGUUCCAGCUGACAUGAGCCCUGCUCAUAGCAGCUUAGUGGUUAAGAUGUUGGACUACUGAGCAGAAGGUUGUGAGUUCAAAUCCCAGGUCCAUUGAGCCACCACUGCUGGGCCCUUGAGGAAGGCCCUUAACUGCUCAUUUGUACAGAUGAAAUAAAUGCAAACUGUUCUGGAUAAGGGAAUCUGCCAGAUGGCUAAAUAUGUGAAGAUCUCUGCUGUAAGACAUCAUUGUGACUCCUCACAGUCUCUUCAUUUUUAUCUGAACUAUUACUCUUGUAAUGUUCAGGUCAAGCAAUAUCCCAAAUAUCCUGUAUAAAUAUGUCAUCAUGUCUUACAGGCACCACUCAUAAAAAUAAGGAAAAACUGGUUAUAUAAAAUUUCAAAUUAUAACUAACACUAUCCAAAUUUCUACAGAAGAAACAAACUAAUUUUCCUUCUUUUAGUUGUCAACAAUUCUCACUUUUUAAGGAACAAGAUUUCUUAAAAAUCAUCUUUUACUAUAUUACUUUUAAUUGUUAUCAUUUAUAUUUGAAUUCAUUUUAAUUAUAAUUUGUAAAUCUGUUGUGGCCUUUAACCAGCAUCCUGUUUCUCUGGGGUAUACAUGUGAUGCUGCAAUAAAAUGCAAAAUCCUUUUAUU
Molecule: long non-coding RNA, 3045 nt
Organism: Hemibagrus wyckioides
Lineage: Eukaryota; Metazoa; Chordata; Actinopteri; Siluriformes; Bagridae
Exons: 3
Source: RefSeq, a predicted model, not a curated record